RNAcentral lists this ribosomal RNA (447 nucleotides) under uncultured bacterium. RNAcentral describes it as "bacterial SSU rRNA". It matches the Rfam family "Bacterial small subunit ribosomal RNA", at positions 330 to 794 of the family's 1533-position model. The record is from RNAcentral.
UCCAGACUCCUACGGGAGGCAGCAGUGGGGAAUAUUGCACAAUGGGGGGAACCCUGAUGCAGCGACGCCGCGUGAGCGAUGAAGUAUUUCGGUAUGUAAAGCUCUAUCAGCAGGGAAGAAAAUGACGGUACCUGACUAAGAAGCCCCGGCUAACUACGUGCCAGCAGCCGCGGUAAUACGUAGGGGGCAAGCGUUAUCCGGAUUUACUGGGUGUAAAGGGAGCGUAGACGGCCAGACAAGUCUGAAGUGAAAAUCCAGCGCUUAACGUUGGAAGUGCUUUGGAAACUGCCGGGCUAGAGUGCAGGAGGGGCAGGCGGAAUUCCUGGUGUAGCAGUGAAAUGCGUAGAUAUCAGGAGGAACACCGGCGGCGAAGGCGGCCUGCUGGACCGUAACUGACGUUGAGGCUCGAAAGCGUGGGGAGCAAACAGGAUUAGAUACCCGCGUAAC